GGAGAGAUUCGAGGCCUCUCUGUGCCAUUCCGUGCACACUGGGCACAACUUAAAACCCGUCUGGCGUGGGGGGCCGCUGGCAAGUGUGCAGGUCACUAUCAGUGACCCUCUAGUGAAGCCAGACUUGGGAGUCUCCUUCUGGGCGGGUGGUGCGGCUUCUUCCCAGGGGAGUGGAGGGAGAAGGGCGCCCUUGAGGGGAGAAUCCGGAGCUGGGUGUUACCUGCGGGUCUGCCUGGGCAGUCGGGUUAGCAGUGCAAAGAGCCAGACAGCCAUAGCUGUCACUGGGUGGCUUUAAAAAGUGGGAAGGGGCGUGGUGAGGGAUUCUGCAGGACCUGGAUCCUCCAGGUGCCCUGGGCUGGGGACAGUGCGCCAGGACUGCUGUGUCCACAUACUACAUGUUGGUCUGGGGGCUGACAUUCAUGGUCCCAUAGCCCUGGGGCCUGGACGUUCAAGAUCAGGGUGUCUGCAAGGGCCUGUCUUGUGGACCACCAUCUUCUCCCUGGGUCCCCCCAGGAUGGUGCCUCUGUGUGGGUCUGUGUCCUCAUCUCUUCUGAUAAAGACCUGGGACCUGUUGGAUCAGGACCACCCUCCAGAACUCAUCGCCUGUUUAGAGACCCUGCUUUCAAAUACAGACACGGUGCUGCAGUGCCCUUGUGGCUUGAAUUUGGGAGAGAACAUCUCUGAAGUGUUUACUGCACAGGAUCUAUUGAAGCCCAUCCGUCCAACGAGCUCCUGUUGGAAACAAACUGUGCACAAGCCCCAUCUUCCACCAGCCCAGCCAUCUGCCUUCCUUGGUCCACAUCCAACUCCCCACGGUGCUGGAGAAAAAUUGCACGGGUGAGCAAAUUCGUGUUACUACAGAAUCUUGAUCUUCA
This is a long non-coding RNA of Ictidomys tridecemlineatus (thirteen-lined ground squirrel), 875 nucleotides long. Lineage: Eukaryota; Metazoa; Chordata; Mammalia; Rodentia; Sciuridae. The record is from Ensembl.